AUGGGCCAUUUGGAGGCGGCCUGCCGAUUUCCGAUGGUUCCUGGGCGGGUGGAGGAUCCGCCACCAGUGGCGGUGGACCCAGGUGGCGGGUCGGUUUCGGCGCCCCCCGAUGACGGGGAGGAGAACCCAGGGCUGGUGUUUGGCCCCUGGAUGGUGGCGACGCGGCGGAGGCCUCCGCCGCGGGAGUCUCGACCACCACGGUCGAAGGAGACUCAACCAGUGCCUGGAUCGGCCCCGUCCCGGCCGCCUUCUCCGGUAGCUAGACCGGAGAUGUCUGUGCCUGACCCGAGGCCUG
RNAcentral lists this long non-coding RNA (295 nucleotides) under Phoenix dactylifera (date palm). RNAcentral describes it as "long non-coding RNA (PDAC_LNC020927)". Lineage: Eukaryota; Viridiplantae; Streptophyta; Magnoliopsida; Arecales; Arecaceae. The record is from RNAcentral.